RNAcentral lists this ribosomal RNA (136 nucleotides) under Halanaerobium saccharolyticum subsp. saccharolyticum DSM 6643. Its description in RNAcentral is "Small Subunit Ribosomal RNA; ssuRNA; SSU rRNA". It matches the Rfam family "Bacterial small subunit ribosomal RNA", at positions 17 to 133 of the family's 1533-position model. Lineage: Bacteria; Bacillati; Bacillota; Clostridia; Halanaerobiales; Halanaerobiaceae. The record is from RNAcentral.
UCCUGGCUCAGGACGAACGCUGGCGGCGUGCUUAACACAUGCAAGUCGAACGGUCUACCUCGACUGAAACCUUCGGGUUGACGACGAGAUCUAGAUAGUGGCGGACGGGUGAGUAACACGUGAAUAAUCUGUCCUC